UCUACCAUUUGUCAAUUGAAAAAUAUUACAUGUAUAUCAUUGUCUACAUAAUGGUGUCCAUAAUUACACGUAGUAUUGGAUCCAACCUUUAAUUUAAAUUUCACACUUGUACAUCAACAAUCGGAUGAUUGUCACAUCACGUUAUGGACACCAUUAUGCGCAAUAAUUAUAUACAAGUAGAAUUUUUCUUGUCAGUUUAAAUACAAUCAUUUUUUUAUCCAAUAUUUUCCUUCCACAUCAUAUUUUAUGUACAAGUAGCAAAAUUCAUCGUAACCCCAUCGCUGUAUAAAUAAAAAUUAAUCACCUAAACUUGUCCUCGACUCCAGCCAAUGCAACACGGACGGUGCUGUGCUAGUGUUGUUUUGCUACCUAUAGUCAUUAGGAUUCUCUCUGCUCUGGAUGAGAGGGAUGCCAUCUUCCCGACAGAUUUAUCCGGUCUUCACAUAAUAUAGCUACUAACUCAACAUAGAGUUUGUGCUCCUGAUCAUGAAGAACAAAGGGGAUCUGAUGCAGGGCGAAUAAUUCAAUAAAGAUAACAAGAAGAGAUGAGAGAGGGGGGAGAAGAAGAAGAACAGAGACAGAGGGAAGAAGAGAGGAAAACGACUAUAGCCAACUUUAUUAUUUAAUCAAAUUCAUCAACUCAAAAAUAACAAUGUAGAAUAGAUUUAAAUACUGAAAAUACUGCAAACCUAGGGCCAAGCCCAAUACACAAGUCCAUAAAAAUGAAAUAACCUAAAUCCAACUAAGAAAUAAAAGUCCAACUCUAGGAUGUCCUCAUCAAUUCUCCCAGGGUGGGAGAGAAAACUCGACCUUGUCGAGUGGCUAUAUCACCAUAGGCUGAGUGGCUGGGCAAGCUUCUUCUGCCGUCUGUAGAAAUGUGUCAGUGGCGGUCUGAAUCUGGUGUCCUCACCAACUCCUUUCGGGUGGACGGGAGGCGAUCUGGGCCAAUGAAGAUCCUGCUGACUUCGAUAAAACUCUAACAAAUCUGGAUCCAAUUGCUGUAGUGUCUCCCUGGAGAUCCAUGCACAGUCACAAUUUGGUCGACCAACCCUACGAAUAAGGAAGUACUGAACCUCUCCAUCAUUAGUGAACACAGUUUCUUCAUCUAAAAUAGCAUCAAUUUUUUCUUUGUGUGCUGUGAGAGGUGGUAGUGGGUUAGAAGGGGCCAAAGAAUCAGGAUCAAGGUCUACAAAAGGAGAUGACAGAGGAUCAUCUGAGGGAAUGAAAUGGCCUUUAUAAGCUACGAGGUCCUCAACAUUGAAAGUAGAGUGGUAACCAAGGUGUGGUGGAAUGUCAACAAUAUAUGCAUUUGGACCAACCUGUUUUAAAAUUUUAAAAGGACCAGCACUACAAGCUUGCAAUUUAGAGGCGGGUCCAUGUAGACGCCGCUUUGGCCUAAUGCGAACCAUAACGUAAUCCCCAAUGUUACACUCAACAUGUCGUUUGUGUAAAUCAGCUUGAAGUUUAUAUUUUGCAUUACUAGUUUCAAGUUAUUUAUUGAUCUCAAUAUGCAAGUCACAAAGAUGAUGUGCAAAUACUUUGGCUGAUACUGACACUCUAGCAUGUGGGGACAUAGGGAUGAGAUCUAACGGUUUUCUAGGCUUGUACCCAUGACCGGCUUCAAAUAGACUCAUACCUAAUGAACGAUUUAUGGAGCUAUUAUACGCAAUUUGAGCUACAGGAAGGAUUAAAUCCCAAUUUCGAAGGUUUUCCCAGACCAGACAACGUAAUAGGUUACCAAGAUUUCAAUUAACAACUUCAGUUUGACUGUCAGUCUGAAGGUGGUAGGCCGUAGAAAAUUUCAAUUUGGUACUCAUCUUGUGCCACAAAGUUCUCCAAAAAUGGCUAGUGAAACGAACGUCCCUAUUCGACACGAUGGUCUUGGGAAGCCCAUACAAUUUGACAAUUUCAUUAAAGAAUAACAGGGCAACCUUGGACACAUCCGACGUCUUGCUACAGGGGACAAAAUGAGCCAUCUUUGAGAAACGAUCGACAAACACAAAAAUAGAGUCAUGCUUUUUUGGGGUACGUGGAAGUCCUAAUACAAAAUCCAUACUAACAUCUUGCCAAGGACAAUUAGGGACAGUGAGAGGGAUGUAUAGACCUGUGUUCUGCUUUUUCUGCUUACUCAAUUGACAAGUGUUACAAGUACUAACAAUCUUAGCCACGUCUUUCUUCAAGCUAGGCCAAUAGAAUUGACGUUCAACUUCCUCUAUGAUCUUAUCACGUCCAAAAUGACCAGCUAACCCUCCCGCAUGAAUUUCCCACACAAUGAAAUCUCGCACUGAAAUUCGAGGAAUGCACAAUUUAUUGGCUCUAAAGAGAUAACCCUCCUCAAGUCGGAAGCCAUCUGUGGCGCUUGAAUGUCCCCUUUGUAAAUCAAGAAAGAUAUCUUUAAAAUCGGGACACGCCUCGUAAUCUUCCUUAAAUCUUUCAAAAUCGAUGACCUUGACACUCAUGAUCGACAAAAGGGAGACACGACGACUUAACGCAUCAGCUGUUUGGUUCUCUACGCCUUUCUUGUGUUUUAAAACAAAUGAAUAUGCCUGCAAAUAUUCGACCCAAUAACCGUGCCUAGAACUUAAUCUUUUCUGGGAGUUGAGGUAACGGAGGGCCUCGUGAUCCGAAUAAAGGACAAAUUCCUGGGAUAACAAAUAGUGGCGCCAAUAGCGCAAAGCCUGGACCACUGCAUACAGUUCAUUAUCAUAAGUUGAGUACCGCUGUUUGGCCUCGUUUAACUUCUCACUGAAAUAGGCAACAGGGUGACGAUCCUGACUUAAGACUCCGCCUAUACCUACCCUGGAGGCGUCACAUUCAACUUCAAAGACUUUGGAAAAAUCAAGAAGACGCAUGACAGGGACCUCCAUCAUUCGCUUCUUGACUAACUUAAAGGCCUUAGCCGCCUCUCGUGUCCAAUGAAACUCCCUUUUCUUCAUGCACUCCGUAAUAGGCGCCAUAAUAGUGCUAAACCCCUUAAUAAAGCGACGGUAAAAUGUAGCUAAGCCGUGAAAACUCCCGACAUCAUAAAUAACUUUGGAUUCAAGCCAGUCAAUAAUCGCCUAAACCUUAGCAGGGUCAGCGGAUACCCUUGUCGAAGAGACAAUGAACCCCAGAAAAAUGACUGUGUCGGUGAAGAAAGAGCACUUCUUGACAUUCGCAUGUGGAUUAGUUGCACGAAGGGUAGAGUAAACUUGCGUGAGGUGGUCAACGUGUUGCUCCUUAGUCUUACUAUAGAUAAGGAUAUCAUCAAAGUAGACAACAAGAAACUUGCCCAUGAAAGGUCGGAGAGUUUGUGUCAUUACUCGCAUAAAGGUACUUGGCGCAUUACUCAGCCCAAAAGGCAUGACCAGCCAUUCAUAAAGAUCAUCUUUCAUCUUAAACGCGGUCUUCCACUCAUCACCUGGGCGAAUUCGGAUCUGAUGGUAUCCACUCUUCAGAUCAAUCUUCGAAAAGAUUGUGGCACCAACCAUCAUAUCUAACAUAUCGUCAAGGCUAGGAAUGGGAAAACGAUACUUCAUCGUGAUCCUAUUGAUCGCGCGACUAUCCACACACAUUCUCCAAAAACCAUCCUUUUUGGGCAUCAAUAGGGCGGGGACAGCACACGGGCUUAAACUCCCACGAAUGAAUCCUUUGUGAAGGAGAUCAUCCACUUGCCUUUGAAGUUCAGCGUGCUCGGUAGGAUUCAUCCUAUAAUGAGAUAAAUUUGGGAGGCAUGCCCCUGGGACGAAAUCUAUGGCAUGUUGAAUAUCCCUUAGUGGAGGUAGAUGGUCAGGCAGGUCCUCCGGAAAGACGUCUCGAAACUCUUGGAGGAUCGACAGGACUUGAACAGGGCUCUCUAUUGUGGAGUGGGAUGGAACCUCCAUGACCACCAAAGCGAACACAACUGAGUCACCGACAAGUGUACGCUCAAACUCCGUAGGACUAAUGUUGUGCAAUCCUUUUCGUUCCACACUUUUUUUCGUUUCCAGUGGGCCAGCAGGCUUUGGGGGCAGUGGGUUAAGGUGAAUUUUCUUUCCAUUAAACACGAAAGAGAAGGAAUUAGAUCGACCAUAGAUGGUUACAUCUAGCUCAAAUAACCAAGGUCGUCCCAGGAUGAUGUGCCCAACGUCCAUUGAAAUAACGUCACACCAUAUAUGAUCCUUAUACUCGAGAAAUUGGAUAGGGACUAAACAAUACUCCUUGACAGCUAUGGAAGAGGUAUCAACCCAAGAGAUACAGUAUGGCUGAGGGUGAGGAACAGACUUCAACCCUAGACGGGAUACAGUAAUCAUCGAAACCACAUUAAUGCAGCUGCCACUAUCCACGAUAACUUUACAGCCCUUAUUGUUAAUCUUGAUGUAAGUGUGGAAGAUAGCAUGACGGCGCCAAUCAUCGGCAUCCCUAGGCUGGGUAAGAGUACAACGGACAACACCGACUCUAGGCGUAUGUGGGAUAAGGGGACUAGCCUGAAUACAACCCAAGAAGGUAUCUUCACUAUCCUCUAAGUCAUCAAACUCUUCUAACUUAGGCUCAUAAACCUGAUCCUCUAGUGGCUCGUCAAUUAUACCUUCACGCUCUUUCAAAACUAGGGCUCGGCUAGGACACUUAGAAGCAAUGUGACCAAAACCCUUACAGUUGAAGCAUUACAAACGAGAGGACGUUCUUGAAACCUCAGAACCUCUACCUUUACUAUCCGAUGUAGGGGUAGUAUUAGAAGGAGGAGGUAGUGGAUGCAGAAGAGGUUGCAAUACUACGACUUUUGUACGGUGUCCUAGUCACUAACUCGUAAUCCCAAACGAAAGAGUAGGCGUGGUCAAGAGUGGUGACGUCUCUAAGAACAAGCUCACGUCUAAGAUCAUCUCGUAGGCCUUGCCUAAAUCUACUCAAGGUCAUGAUUUCAUCCUCAACGACCUGACAUCUCAUUCGAAACUCGUCAAACUGAGCAACAUAUUCGGUCACAGGUCGACUGCCUUGCGUAAGUGUGUUCCAUUGAUCCAGCAAGUUGCCCCUGUAAGAUUGAGGUAAAUAUUUUUCUUCAAGGCGACGCUUCAUUUCAUCCCAGUUCCCAACAGGGAGAGCAUGGCGCCUCUCUAGGAGGUCCUCAUCACUUUUCCAAAACAGUUGAGCUGUGCCAGUUAAUUUCAAACUGGCAAAUUGUACUCUCUGAUUUUCAGGGACCCCAUACCAGGCAAAGAAGCGAUCCAUAUCUCUAAUCCAUUGAUUGAAUACACUAGGAUCUAGACAAUCAUCAAAUGUAGGGGCAUCUAACUUAAUAUUUCGAAAGAGGCGCUCCUUGUGGCGAAGGGGAGAUAGUGUACCAUGACGGUGAUACUCCCGCUCGCGUCCACGAGCUUGAUUUCCGUCCCUACGAUCAUGUCUAGCAUGGUGUCGACCACCUUGUGGAUAACGAUGUGGUCUAUUAAUGGAAGCGUCAUAAUUUUCAGCCUCAGUUGAGGAUUGGGUUGGGUCAAGAGUGUUUACCCUAGCGGUUAGGGCUCUAUUCUCCUCGCGAGUAGCGGCUAAAUCAGUUUGGACAGUCGUUAAUUGAUUUUGUAAUUGUGCCAACUGUCGGGUGAUAGCUUCAAUGUGGGAAGGGUCCAUGGUAACGGUACUAGAGUUAGAGACAGUAACACGACCACUACGUAAUUGCAUACAUGGUAACACAAGCUAGGUGAAGUGCCUACUGAGAUCAACAACCAACGAGUGCCAGCAGGGAAAAUAGUGACUGAAAUUUAUCUAUUGUUAUUAUUAUUAUUUUAUUUUAUUGUAGGGAUUACGUGUGGUCCGAUCGCAAGCUAAUACUACUAAUGCCAAUAAAAUAAAAAAGCAAAGGUACAAAUGCUAGGACUAGUCACGUGGGGUAAAGGAGUGAAUAAUGGGGUCGGCUCGUGAAUUUCAAUCCAAUAGAUUUAAGGUUAAAUUAUCAAAAUAUUAGCAACAUAAAGAAUGAAUUGAUACAAUUCUAGAGUACAGUAACAGUGUCACUAAAAAUGAAUAGGAGUAGAGACUCCCUGAAUUCAGUUGGCCUGAGUCGUCCCAGCGUCGAAUGUCUCCACUUUCUGAAUGGUUAAGCGUUGAGAUGCCAAGACAGAAAUUUCGUAUUCGUCGAGGUGUGGUACUGAUUAG
Molecule: long non-coding RNA, 6105 nt
Filed under: Olea europaea subsp. europaea
Lineage: Eukaryota; Viridiplantae; Streptophyta; Magnoliopsida; Lamiales; Oleaceae
Source: RNAcentral